UUGCUUGGGCAGCACAUAUAUGCAAUUUAAAGCAGUACAGACAGGAUCAGCACAGCCCCUGCACAUGGAUGACACAUAAAUUCUCUAAGUAUUCCAUAUUUUA
Molecule: small nuclear RNA, 103 nt
Organism: Nannospalax galili (Upper Galilee mountains blind mole rat)
Lineage: Eukaryota; Metazoa; Chordata; Mammalia; Rodentia; Spalacidae
Source: Ensembl